Molecule: ribosomal RNA, 497 nt
Filed under: uncultured bacterium
Lineage: Bacteria
Description: partial 16S ribosomal RNA
Rfam family: Bacterial small subunit ribosomal RNA
Source: RNAcentral
GAUGAACGCUGGCGGCGUGCCUAAUACAUGCAAGUCGAGCGAACAGACGAGGAGCUUGCUCCUCUGACGUUAGCGGCGGACGGGUGAGUAACACGUGGAUAACCUACCUAUAAGACUGGGAUAACUUCGGGAAACCGGAGCUAAUACCGGAUAAUAUAUUGAACCGCAUGGUUCAAUAGUGAAAGACGGUUUUGCUGUCACUUAUAGAUGGAUCCGCGCCGCAUUAGCUAGUUGGUAAGGUAACGGCUUACCAAGGCAACGAUGCGUAGCCGACCUGAGAGGGUGAUCGGCCACACGGGAACUGAGACACGGUCCAGACUCCUACGAGAGGCAGCAGUAGGGAAUCUUCCGCAAUGGGCGAAAGCUUGACGGAGCAACGCCGCGUGAGUGAUGAAGGUCUUCGGAUCGUAAAACUCUGUUAUUAGGGAAGAACAAAUGUGUAAGUAACUGUGCACGUCUUGACGGUACCUAAUCAGAAAGCCACGGCUAACUACGUG